RNAcentral lists this unclassified non-coding RNA (379 nucleotides) under uncultured Lysobacteraceae bacterium. Its description in RNAcentral is "uncultured Xanthomonadaceae bacterium contains 16S-23S intergenic spacer region". The record is from RNAcentral. Lineage: Bacteria; Pseudomonadati; Pseudomonadota; Gammaproteobacteria; Lysobacterales; Lysobacteraceae.
UCCGGUUUGUCACCGGCGGUCUCCUUAGAGUUCCCACCAUUACGUGCUGGCAACUAAGGACAAGGGUUGCGCUCGUUGCGGGACUUAACCCAACAUCUCACGACACGAGCUGACGACAGCCAUGCAGCACCUGUGUUCGCGCUCCCGAAGGCACCCUCCCAUCUCUGGAAGGUUCGCGACAUGUCAAGGCCAGGUAAGGUUCUUCGCGUUGCAUCGAAUUAAACCACAUACUCCACCGCUUGUGCGGGCCCCCGUCAAUUCCUUUGAGUUUCAGUCUUGCGACCGUACUUCCCAGGCGGCGAACUUAACGCGUUAGCUUCGAUACUGAGGGCCAAGUUGCCCCCAACAUCCAGUUCGCAUCGUUUAGGGCGUGGACUAC